This 277-nucleotide small nuclear RNA is filed under the name Erinaceus europaeus (western European hedgehog). RNAcentral describes it as "7SK RNA (ENSEEUG00000018898.1)". It matches the Rfam family "7SK RNA". From Rfam's summary of the family: 7SK was discovered as an abundant small nuclear RNA in the mid-70s but a possible function has only recently been suggested. Lineage: Eukaryota; Metazoa; Chordata; Mammalia; Eulipotyphla; Erinaceidae. The record is from RNAcentral.
AGAUGUGAGGGCGAUCUGGCUGCGUCAUCUGUCACCCCAUUGAUCGCCAGGGUUGAUUCUGCUGAUCUGGCUGGCUAGGCGGGUGUCCCCUUCCUCCCUCACUGCUCCAUGUGUGUCCCUCCCGAAGCUGCGCGCUAGGUCUAAGAGGACGGCCUUCCCCGAAUAGAGACAGACCUGUCUUCCAUCCAGGGUAUACAAGUAGCUGUGCUCCCCUGCUAGAAUCUCUAAACAGCACUCAGAUGGGGGUCAGUAGGGCACAAAGUAAAACCCUGGAUGA